UACGGAGGGGGCUAGCGUUGUCCGGAUUCACUGGGCGUAAAGGGCGCGUAGGCGGUGCGGUAAGUCUGUAGUGAAAUCUCUGGGCUCAACUCAGAGUCUGCUAUAGAAACUGCCGUGCUUGAGUGUGGGAGAGGUGAGUGGAACUGCGAGUGUAGAGGUGAAAUUCGUAGAUAUUCGCAAGAACACCAGUGGCGAAGGCGGCUCACUGGCCCGGUACUGACGCUGAGGUGCGAAAGCGUGGGGAGCAAACAGG
This 253-nucleotide ribosomal RNA is filed under the name uncultured bacterium. RNAcentral's name for it is "partial 16S ribosomal RNA". It matches the Rfam family "Bacterial small subunit ribosomal RNA", at positions 524 to 776 of the family's 1533-position model. The record is from RNAcentral.